UACAGAGGUCUCAAGCGUUGUUCGGAUUCAUUGGGCGUAAAGGGUGCGUAGGUGGCGCGAUAAGUCGGGUGUGAAAUCUCGGAGCUUAACUCCGAAAUUGCAUUCGAUACUGCCGUGCUCGAGGACUGGAGAGGAGACUGGAAUUCUCGGUGUAGCGGUGAAAUGCGUAGAUAUCGAGAGGAACACCUGCGGCGAAGGCGGGUAGCUGGGCCGACACUGACGCUGAGGCGCGAAAGCCAGGGGAGCGAACGGG
This 253-nucleotide ribosomal RNA is filed under the name uncultured bacterium. Its description in RNAcentral is "partial 16S ribosomal RNA". It matches the Rfam family "Bacterial small subunit ribosomal RNA", at positions 524 to 776 of the family's 1533-position model. The record is from RNAcentral.